RNAcentral lists this long non-coding RNA (247 nucleotides) under Fukomys damarensis (Damara mole-rat). RNAcentral describes it as "lncRNA (ENSFDAG00000031329.1)". The record is from RNAcentral. Lineage: Eukaryota; Metazoa; Chordata; Mammalia; Rodentia; Bathyergidae.
UGUAAUUCCAACAGUGUUGUCUCCGCUUACAGUCUGUAGCCAGUUCUCAUUCUGUUUGAACCAGUGCGAGCCAAGCCACAGCCAGCCCUGUUCUCUGGAAUCUUGUGAAAAGCCUCUUCCUCUUCCUGCCCCUGGCUGCGAAGGCCCUCCAUGCAGUUGGUCCAGCUACUCACACUCCCAUGGGUCCCCAAGCAAGCUGCUCCCUCUUCUGCUCCCUUUCAUCGCUCCUGGAAUGUGCUUCUCCUGA